GAUGAACGCUGGCGGCGUGCCUAACACAUGCAAGUCGAACGGACGGACGGUAAGCUUGCGCCUUUGAGGUUAGCGGCGGGCGGGUGAGUAACGCGUGGAUCACCUACUUAUAUUUCGGGGAGAACUACGUGAAACCGGCUAUAAUACCACAGCAUAUUUUGAACCGCAGGGUGCAAAGGUUAAUGACGGCUUUGGUGUCUCUUUUAGCUGGUUCCGCGCUGGAUUAGCUAGUUGGUAAGGUAACGGCCUACCAAGGCUACGAUGCGUAGCUGACCUGAGAGGGUGAUCGGCCACACUGGAACUGAGACACGGUCCAGACUCCUACGGGAGGCAGCAGUAGGGAAUAUUACGCAAUGGGCGAAAGCCUGACGGAGCAACGCCGCGUGAGUGAUGAAGGCCUUCGGAUCGUAAAGCCCUGUUAUUAGGGAAGAACAGAUGUGGAAUGAAACGUGCAUGUCUUGACGGUACCUAAUCAGAAAGCAACGGCUAACUACGUG
This 497-nucleotide ribosomal RNA is filed under the name uncultured bacterium. RNAcentral's name for it is "partial 16S ribosomal RNA". It matches the Rfam family "Bacterial small subunit ribosomal RNA", at positions 28 to 507 of the family's 1533-position model. The record is from RNAcentral.